AGAGCUUUAGUUUAAUUAAAGCGUCUGUGUUGCAAACAGGGGAUGUAGUAUAUCUGCAAGCUCUA
RNAcentral lists this transfer RNA (65 nucleotides) under Pseudoleptodeira latifasciata. RNAcentral's name for it is "tRNA-Ala". Lineage: Eukaryota; Metazoa; Chordata; Lepidosauria; Squamata; Dipsadidae. The record is from RNAcentral.